This is a transfer RNA of 74 nucleotides. It matches the Rfam family "tRNA". Rfam says of the family: Transfer RNA (tRNA) molecules are approximately 80 nucleotides in length. Their secondary structure includes four short double-helical elements and three loops (D, anti-codon, and T loops). The record is from Rfam.
GCCGGCGUGGCGCAAUCGGUUAGCGCGUCAGACUUUUAAUCUGAAUGUUGCGAGUUCGAGUCUCGCCGUUGGCG